UACGUAGGGUGCAAGCGUUAAUCGGAAUUACUGGGCGUAAAGCGUGCGCAGGCGGUUUUGUAAGUCAGAUGUGAAAUCCCCCGGGCUUAACCUGGGAACUGCGUUUGAAACUACAAGGCUAGAGUGUAGCAGAGGGGGUGGAAUUCCACGUGUAGCAGUGGAAAUGCGUAGAGAUGUGGAGGAACACCGAUGGCGAAGGCAGCCCCCUGGGUUAACACUGACGCUCAGGCACGAAAGCGUGGGGAGCAAACAGG
This 254-nucleotide ribosomal RNA is filed under the name uncultured bacterium. RNAcentral describes it as "partial 16S ribosomal RNA". It matches the Rfam family "Bacterial small subunit ribosomal RNA", at positions 524 to 776 of the family's 1533-position model. The record is from RNAcentral.